This 447-nucleotide ribosomal RNA is filed under the name uncultured soil bacterium. RNAcentral describes it as "bacterial SSU rRNA". It matches the Rfam family "Bacterial small subunit ribosomal RNA", at positions 26 to 518 of the family's 1533-position model. The record is from RNAcentral.
AGAACGAACGCUGGCGGCAUGCCUAACACAUGCAAGUCGAACGAGACCUUCGGGUCUAGUGGCGCACGGGUGCGUAACGCGUGGGAAUCUGCCCUUGGGUUCGGGAUAACAGUUGGAAACGACUGCUAAUACCGGAUGAUGACUUCGGUCCAAAGAUUUAUCGCCCAGGGAUGAGCCCGCGUAGGAUUAGCUAGUUGGUGAGGUAAAGGCUCACCAAGGCGACGAUCCUUAGCUGGUCUGAGAGGAUGAUCAGCCACACUGGGACUGAGACACGGCCCAGACUCCUACGGGAGGCAGCAGUGGGGAAUAUUGGACAAUGGGCGAAAGCCUGAUCCAGCAAUGCCGCGUGAGUGAUGAAGGCCUUAGGUUGUAAAGCUCUUUUACCCGGGAUGAUAAUGACAGUACCGGGAGAAGUAAGCCCCGGACUAACUCCGUGCCAGUAGCCGC